UACGAAGGUGUCUAGCGUUGUUCGGAUUUACUGUGCGUAAAGCGCACGUAGGCGGAUAUUUAAGUCAGAGGUGAAAUCCCAGGGCUCAACCCUGGAACUGCCUUUGAUACUGGAUAUCUCGAGUAUGGAAGAGGUGAGUGAAAUUCCGAGUGUAGAGGUAAAAUUCGUAGAUAUUCGGAGGAACACCAGUGGCGAAGGCGGCUCACUGGUCCAUUACUGACGCUGAGGUGCGAAAGCGUGGGGAGCAAACA
RNAcentral lists this ribosomal RNA (251 nucleotides) under uncultured Bartonella sp. Its description in RNAcentral is "partial 16S ribosomal RNA". It matches the Rfam family "Bacterial small subunit ribosomal RNA", at positions 524 to 774 of the family's 1533-position model. The record is from RNAcentral. Lineage: Bacteria; Pseudomonadati; Pseudomonadota; Alphaproteobacteria; Hyphomicrobiales; Bartonellaceae.